GAUGAACGCUGGCGGCGUGCCUAAUACAUGCAAGUCGAACGCUGGAAAUCUAGCUUGCUAGAUUGAAGGAGUGGCGAACGGGUGAGUAAUACAUAAGCAACCUACCCACGAAGACUGGGAUAAUCUCUGGAAACGGGGACUAAUACCGGAUAGGUAAUCGGAAGGCAUCUUCUGAUUAUUAAAGGUUAAAAACACUGGUGGAUGGGCUUAUGGCGCAUUAGUUAGUUGGUGAGGUAACGGCCCACCAAGACGAUGAUGCGUAGCCGGCCUGAGAGGGUGAACGGCCACAUUGGGACUGAGACACGGCCCAGACUCCUACGGGAGGCAGCAGUAGGGAAUUUUCGGCAAUGGGGGAAACCCUGACCGAGCAACGCCGCGUGAGUGAUGACGGCCUUCGGGUUGUAAAGCUCUGUUGUAAGGGAAGAACGGUAGAUAGAGAAUAUCUAAAUGACGGUACCUUACCAGAAAGCCACGGCGAACUACGU
This 485-nucleotide ribosomal RNA is filed under the name uncultured bacterium. Its description in RNAcentral is "partial 16S ribosomal RNA". It matches the Rfam family "Bacterial small subunit ribosomal RNA", at positions 28 to 506 of the family's 1533-position model. The record is from RNAcentral.